This 444-nucleotide ribosomal RNA is filed under the name uncultured bacterium. RNAcentral's name for it is "bacterial SSU rRNA". It matches the Rfam family "Bacterial small subunit ribosomal RNA", at positions 355 to 796 of the family's 1533-position model. The record is from RNAcentral.
UAAGGAAUAUUGGUCAAUGGACGCAAGUCUGAACCAGCCAUGCCGCGUGGAGGAUGAAGGUCCUCUGGAUUGUAAACUUCUUUUAUCUGGGAAGAAAUCCACGAAUUCUUUUGUGGUUGACGGUACCAGAUGAAUAAGCACCGGCUAACUCCGUGCCAGCAGCCGCGGUAAUACGGAGGGUGCAAGCGUUAUCCGGAUUCACUGGGUUUAAAGGGUGCGUAGGCGGGCAGGUAAGUCAGUGGUGAAAUCUCUGGGCUUAACUCAGAAACUGCCGUUGAUACUAUCUGUCUUGAAUAUCAUGGAGGUAAGCGGAAUAUGUCAUGUAGCGGUGAAAUGCUUAGAUAUGACAUAGAACACCUAUAGCGAAGGCAGCUUACUACAUGAAGAUUGACGCUGAUGCACGAAAGCGUGGGGAGCAAACAGGAUUAGAUACCCGCGUAGUCC